CGGCCUCCCGAGAACGCCCUCGCCACGCAGCCGGCCGGACGUGUGGCCGGCGCUGCGCCUUCCCUCUCUGGCCCUCCCAGGCGGUGCCCGUUUUGACGUACUUGUGAUCCAGGCAGAAAAGAAGCCUUCACAAGCCCACGUAUUUUCCUCAGUGAGACAAAGAAAUAUUUGUGAUAUACUGAAACAGCUGAAGAAGUAUUCCGUUCAAAGUUCAGAGGGAGGAAACAGAGAAGCAGGAGACAAGAGAGGAGAGACAGCACAGUCAGGUCACUGCACUGCCCAGGAAACGGAAGCACAUCUGAGAAGAUGUCUCCAUCCCUCCACCUGAGGCUCGUGUUGCAGGUGCAGCCAUAGCUGUGGAUCUCCCAGCAAUCCCUUCUUCAACUGCAACCCGAGCUAUGAACAGAGAGAGGGAGAGUACUGUGCUUGGGGCUGCUCCUCUCCUUGGGAAGACUUGCAGCAAUGCCAGGUGAGGGGACAGGAGGUACUGAGGGUGUGGUGGCAGAGGGAAGCAUUGUGGACCCAGGAACAAUCCUGAAAUCUUUGAUCUGUGUUUGGCUCCACUAGUCACUAGACUCCUGACAAGCAGAUUUCAGGGUUCCGUAGGUUGAAACAUAGCAAUUCCACACUUGGGAGGGAACUGCUAUUUUAUUGCCCCAAUUAACUGGUUUAUUUGUUUAUAAAUUCUUCCCUUUUCUGUUUUAUGAUGCAGUUGUGGUGUGUUUAAUGGAACUGCAAGAUUAAGACUGGCAAGAUGACUGCAUGUUAUGUUUCCAAAGCUAAUAAAUGGUUUGAAUCCAGA
Molecule: long non-coding RNA, 802 nt
Filed under: Ursus maritimus (polar bear)
Lineage: Eukaryota; Metazoa; Chordata; Mammalia; Carnivora; Ursidae
Description: lncRNA (ENSUMAG00000015667.1)
Source: RNAcentral